GCGGUCGGUCAGCGGGGCGUUCUCCCACCUGUAGCGACUCAGAGCCUCCAAGCUCAUGGCCUCCUUAGGAGCGAACCCAAGGAGGACACCGCAGGGACCGAGACCUGGGGCGGCCUCCUCCGGCUUCCCCAGCCCGGCCCCAGUGCCGGGCCCCAGGGAGGCCGAGGAGGAGGAAGUCGAGGAGGAGGAGGAGCUGGCCGAGAUCCAUCUGUGUGUGCUGUGGAAUUCAGGAUACUUGGGCAUUGCCUACUAUGAUACUAGUGACUCCACUAUCCACUUCAUGCCAGAUGCCCCAGACCACGAGAGCCUCAAGCUUCUCCAGAGAGUUCUGGAUGAGAUCAAUCCCCAGUCUGUUGUUACGAGUGCCAAACAGGAUGAGAAUAUGACUCGAUUUCUGGGAAAGCUUGCCUCCCAGGAGCACAGAGAGCCUAAAAGACCUGAAAUCAUAUUUUUGCCAAGUGUGGAUUUUGGUCUGGAGAUAAGCAAACAACGCCUCCUUUCUGGAAACUACUCCUUCAUCCCAGACGCCAUGACUGCCACUGAGAAAAUCCUCUUCCUCUCUUCCAUUAUUCCCUUUGACUGCCUCCUCACAAUCCCCUCCCAGGUUCGAGCACUUGGAGGGCUGCUGAAGUUCCUGGGUCGAAGAAGAAUCGGGGUUGAACUGGAAGACUAUAAUGUCAGCGUCCCCAUCCUGGGCUUUAAGAAAUUUAUGUUGACUCAUCUGGUGAACAUAGAUCAAGACACUUACAGGAAUCCUCAACAGAUGCCACUGUAAGUGGGGAGAGAAGCUGCUCAGGCUAUGGUUCACACGUCCGACUCAUGACCUGGGGGAGCUCAGUUCUCGUCUGGACGUCAUUCAGUUUUUUCUGCUGCCCCAGAAUCUGGACAUGGCUCAGAUGCUGCAUCGGCUCCUGGGUCACAUCAAGAACGUGCCUCUGAUUCUGAAACGCAUGAAGUUGUCCCACACCAAGGUCAGCGACUGGCAGGUUCUCUACAAGACUGUGUACAGUGCCCUGGGCCUGAGGGAUGCCUGCCGCUCCCUGCCGCAGUCCAUCCAGCUCUUUCGGGACAUUGCCCAAGAGUUCUCUGAUGACCUGCACCAUAUCGCCAGCCUCAUUGGGAAAGUAGUGGACUUUGAGGGCAGCCUUGCUGAAAAUCGCUUCACAGUCCUCCCCAACAUAGAUCCUG
RNAcentral lists this unclassified non-coding RNA (1188 nucleotides) under Homo sapiens (human). RNAcentral describes it as "mutS homolog 5 (ENSG00000227314.12, ENSG00000230293.11, ENSG00000235222.12, ENSG00000235569.12)". Lineage: Eukaryota; Metazoa; Chordata; Mammalia; Primates; Hominidae. The record is from RNAcentral.